Molecule: ribosomal RNA, 415 nt
Filed under: uncultured microorganism
Description: bacterial SSU rRNA
Rfam family: Archaeal small subunit ribosomal RNA
Source: RNAcentral
GUGCACCAGGCGCGAAAACUUCACAAUGUGCGAAAGCACGAUGAGGGAAUCCCAAGUGCUUGCUCGUAAGAGUAAGCUGUUUCUCUGUCUAAAACGCAGAGAGAGUAAGGGCUGGGUAAGACGGGUGCCAGCCGCCGCGGUAAUACCUGCAGCUCGAGUGGUGGCCGCUAUUAUUGGGCCUAAAACGUCCGUAGCCGGUUUAUUAAAUGCCUGGGUAAAUCGGACCGCUUAACGGUUCGAAUUCCGGGUAGACCGAUAAACUUGAGACCGGGAGAAGCUAGAGGUACUCCUGGGGUAGAGGUGAAAUUCUGUAAUCCUAGGGGGACCACCAGUGGCGAAGGCGUCUAGCUAGAACGGGUCUGACGGUGAGGGACGAAGCCCUGGGGCGCAAACGGGGAUUAGAUACCCGUGUAGU